Molecule: long non-coding RNA, 3125 nt
Filed under: Mus musculus (house mouse)
Lineage: Eukaryota; Metazoa; Chordata; Mammalia; Rodentia; Muridae
Description: long non-coding RNA chr6:54645726-54648851
Source: RNAcentral
UGAGGGUUUUACUUUCUUUGGAGAAUGUUUGAAAACAUCUGUCAGAUUUUUAUAUUCAUUAGUUACAAUAAACAUAUUUUUAGAGUAUUUUAUUAAACGUUCUUCAAAGGGUUUUGUUUGGGUUUUGCUUAACUAUAUGUGCCAAUAAUAUGUAUUAUUUAUGGAAUGUCCACACCAUGCCAGUGAUCAUAAGUCCUUGAGUAUUGACACGAGUCGUCCUGCUAACUGUAAGGCAGAUGCUAUAGGUACCCUCAGGUGACAAUCUGGCAAGCCUCCUGCCCAAUCCCCACAGCUGGUAGCUCUCCCAGCUCCAGGAUCUUCACAACGCUCUUCAAACUUCCAGCAUCAGCCAGUGUAGUGACAUCUGUGAUGAGCUGGGCACACUGGACAGACCAGCCCUUUUCAGAAGUGUUCUCUCCUUUGUUUUCUGAGGUGGGAGCAACAGUAACAGUCCAGACCUGGGAAGUUCUUCCUUAGAGACCUCUACUCCAGCAAAGCCAUGUCCUUGCCUGCCUCAGAAAAGAACCUUAGAAUUCAUGACAAGCAAAUGUAGUGUUGUUCAAGUAGAGAGAGGAGACAGUGCACACUUCAGAUGUUCUGUCGUUCAUUUGAGCACAGCGGAAGACAUACCCUCGGACUGAGGGUACCACCACGCAGUUGUCUGUAUAACCGAGAUCCUCCGCCACUGUCAUUCCAGAGGCACAGAAGGGCGCAUGUGGAGCUAUGGUGCUCACAUUGGCUCUGGUGACUGAGGCUGCUGUGUGAAGCUGUCUUCUAGAGAACAGAGCCAAGCUGCGGGCUGAGUUUUUGCUAUGUGGCCAGUUGUAGGGCACUGUUUGGCUUUAGAGUCAGGAUUGUUAACAUGGUUUUAAUUGUUUUAAUGUUCAAAGUCCUUUGAAGAUCAAUCAUCUUAAAUGCUGGGCCCUCAACCUUCUCCAUCCUCUGACCAUUGAGCUUCAUUGCCCACUCCCAUAUGUGCCCCAAGUUUCCUCAGUCACUGGGGAAAAUAGAAUGAUAAUCCCUCCAGCUGGCUUUUGCCUUAGACCUGUUCUCACCUGUCCUCCUUGCAAACGUUCAUGGUCCUGGAGACCCAACACCCUGCAGACAAUGUGUAAAUUACACUUGAGGUGCAGUCCACUCAUCCAGACUGUGGUAGCACCAUCCCAGACCCACCUAUCUCCUGAUCAUCUUAGUAGUCCCUCCUAUACCUGAGACCCCUGGCCAAGUCUGGCUGCUAUUGCAGCUUUUUCAACCAAGUCAAUGGUGUCACCAUUACUCUGAUCUCCCAGGCAAGACAUACCCUCUGCUUUCUCCCUCACUCUCCAUACCCACUUUGUCUUCAAGUUCACCCUUGACCUCCACACUCUUAUCUGUCACCCUGACUGACAUACCUUCCACACCUGCAAAUGUUCCCUUAGCUCUGUGCCAUGACUUAAGCCCUUUCACAGACUUGGAAAGCCACAUCCCUUUUCCAUUCCAGGAAGAUGCUUCCAAACCUCUCAGAUACAAAGUCACAGCCAUCAGUUCCCUUCCAUUGCUCCUGCGUGUCUAAAUGAUACCGCAUCAAGUAGGACUUGGGUGCAGGAGGCAUGACUCCGAGGUGACUGGGUUAAUUGGUUGAUGUCCUGUCUAAUUAUUUGGGAAGCUGUCACUGACUCUAAGGUUGGUAUACUCCGCCCCCGAUGGUGAUCUCUCUGGCUUUGCAAGGAUUCUAAAACCGUUUUACAAGCUGAAUGUCACCUCAGAUGGUGACAGAUGAAUUCUUUCUGUUACCCAGCUAGAUGAAAGUAGAUGUGAGUCUGUGUCACACAGUCCAGUUCCUCUCUGCUGUCCUGGUUUUGUAGCAGUACUUAGAGAGACUGGCUGCUGUGGGGUGGGAGGGAAGGGGGGCAGGAGGGAGGGAGAGGAGAAAUACGGAGAUGGAGGGCUGACUUUGUGUUUCUCUGUGUUGCUGUACAUCUCUGUUUCUGUGUGUGUCUCUGAGUGUGACUAUAUAUGUAUGUGUCUGUAUGUAUGUCUUUGUAUAAUAUUACAUGGCCUUUGUUAAUACUCUUAAAAUGUUUGUGUCAAUGGUAUUUUUAUGUGUCAAAUUAUGAAUCAGUAGGAUUAAACACCAUUCUGGGUUCUCAGAUCUAUACAUAUACACUUGGUGGAAGGAGUCUAGAAACACGCAGUCUUUAAAAACCCUGUUCUCUGGGCCACUCCACGUGCAUUAGUCUGGGGAAGGUGGCCUUCUCUGAAACAUUUUAACUCUUCCCAGGGAUUCUGACGUACAGCACUGACUGAAUUUCUCCGAACUACUGGUGCAGUCCUUUAAAAUUAUCUGUGGACUUUCAGGAUGAGUCUAGACUAGAAGUUCCUUCUUAGGAUCUAACAAAAUGGCUAUCAAAUAAAUUUUUAAAAAUCAAAAAUCUUGAAAAGUUCCCCAUGAUCAAGCAGUAGGAGGAGUUUUUCUUGGUGCCUUGAACUUCAGAGGUAGCCGAAGGAAAUGCCUAGAUCUCCUGUCAGGAAAGAAUGGCUCCCGACCCAUUGCUGCUGAGGGAAAGUCCCGAGUCUCAGUAAAACCUCACUUAGAAAGAAGCUGAUUAUACCAAACCCAGACAGUAAGGCAGAUGCCAAGAAGUCUUUGCUGACAGGAACCUAAUAUACCUGUCUCCUGAGAGACUCUGCCAGAGCCUGACAAACACAGAGUCAGAUGCUUGUAGCCAACCUUUGGACUGAGCUUGGUGUGCCCCAUUGGAGGAGUCAAAGGACUGAAGGAGCUGAAAGGGUUUGCAACCCAUAGGAAGAACAAUAUCAACCAACCAGAACCCCCAGAGUUCCCUGGGACUAAACCACCAACCAAAGAGGGAAGGAAUGGAGAGACCCAUUGCUCCAGCUGCGUCUGUAGCAGAGGAUGGCAUUCUCUGGAAUCAAUAGGAGGAGAAGCCCUUGGUACUGUGAAGGCUCGAUUCCCCAGUGUAGGGGAAUGCCAGGGUGGGGAGGCAGGACUAGGUGGGUGAGUUGGGGAGCAACCUCAUAGAAGCAGGGGGAGGGAUGAUGGGAUAGGGAGUUUCUGUAGGGGAAACCAGAAAAGGGGAUAAUAUUUGAAAUGUAAAUAAAUAAAAUAUCCAAUUAACAAACAA